AUACGUAGGUGGCAAGCGUUGUCCGGAUUUAUUGGGCGUAAAGCGAGCGCAGGCGGUUUCUUAAGUCUGAUGUGAAAGCCCCCGGCUUAACCGGGGAGGGUCAUUGGAAACUGGGAGACUUGAGUGCAGAAGAGGAGAGUGGAAUUCCAUGUGUAGCGGUGAAAUGCGUAGAUAUAUGGAGGAACACCAGUGGCGAAGGCGACUCUCUGGUCUGCAACUGACUCUGAGGCUCGAAAGCGUGGGGAUCAAACAGGAUUAGAUACCCUGGUAGCCCACGCCGUAAACGAUGAGUGCUAAGUGUUGGAGGGUUUCCGCCCUUCAGUGCUGCAGCUAACGCAUUAAGCACUCCGCCUGGGGAGUACGGCCGCAAGGCUGAAACUCAAAGGAAUUGACGGGG
RNAcentral lists this ribosomal RNA (397 nucleotides) under uncultured bacterium. RNAcentral describes it as "partial 16S ribosomal RNA". It matches the Rfam family "Bacterial small subunit ribosomal RNA", at positions 523 to 918 of the family's 1533-position model. The record is from RNAcentral.